Molecule: ribosomal RNA, 1755 nt
Filed under: Triticum aestivum (bread wheat)
Lineage: Eukaryota; Viridiplantae; Streptophyta; Magnoliopsida; Poales; Poaceae
Description: partial small subunit ribosomal RNA
Source: RNAcentral
CGAAAAUGCCCUCCCACCUGCCCACUCCCAUCCACUUGCUGCCCACUCUCACCCACACCCUCUCAUUCCCCUCCCUCGUCGCCUCUCCGCAUCGUCGCCGGCCACCGCAGCCCGUCGCGUUCUCACUCCGGCAGCCCACCGUGUUCUUCCUCCUGCAGCCCAGCGCUUGCUUCCUCUCCUUCCUUUCCCACCGCUUGCUUCCUCUCCUCCCUUUCCCAUCCCGAGGUCAAAAGAGUGGUUUUUUAUGCGCCGGUGAAGAGCUUCUGGGCGGCGGAGCUGGUGUGGGCGCCGACGCCGGAUCCGCGUGCGCGUACGCUGGAUCUGGGCGACGGAGCGGCCUGGACAGAGUGGAGCGGCGACGGAGUGGAGCAGCGGAGUGGCCCCCGGGAAGGAUGCAUGGCCGGUUGCGGGCACCCUAGGUGGGGCUGCGCUUCUAUGCGGCGACCUCAUCGAGACCAAGAAGCCGGUGUUGGUGAUGCUGCUGCACAUCGAUGACCUCCUCCCUCUCAUGCGUGCCCGUCGUCGUGCGCCGUGACAGACGAUGCAGGGAGAGGAGGACGACCCCAGCCAUGGAGUAGCAACAACUCAAGUUUAAGGUCAAAGUGAUGGUCAUGGGUGAAAUUAGGGACGAUGCCCAGCAGCAACAACUCACCAACACCUGCUCCGACGCCAUGGACCAACAGCAGCAACUGAAGGGAAGAUGAGGAAGCUCACCGACUGCAUCUUCGUCGGCAUCAAUGCCCUCGUGCAUGUCGAUGUCAUCUUCACCAGGAUCAAUGCUCUCGUGCAUGUCGAUAUCAUCGAUAUCAUCUUCAUCGGGACCGACUCCUCCAGGUUGUUGUGUCGUGCUGGAGAUGCUGCCUGCUUCGAGCUGUUGCUGUUGCUGCCUACUUCAAGCCCUCCAGGAGGCGAUCUGGACCAAGUGGGGAGGCUAUCUGCAGCAGUACCUGGAGCUGCAUGGGAGGGCGCGGCGAUCUGGACCUGGGGCUGCCGAUCUGAAGCAGUACCCCCUCCGGCGAGCAGAUCCUCGAUCUGAAGCAGUACUCUCUGGAGCUGGCGAGGCCUUGGGAGGGGGACAACGAUCUGCAGCAGCACCCCCUCCGACAAGGCGAGUUGGUGAGGCCCCCUCCAGCGACAGGGGGCUGGAUUGGCGCAGGCGACAGGGGGUGGCCCUGGGAGAGGGGCGGCCCUGGGAUGGGGGGCGACCCUGUCGGCAGGAAGCAAGCAGCAGCGGCGAUUGGGAUGGAGAGGAUCUGCUCGGCGAGGAAGACGACGGCAAUAGCGAUUCAAAUUAGGGGCACUUUUGUACUUUCCUCCCUUUUCACCUGGUCGGGACGUUUUCUAAAACGUCAUAUAUUUCGGAACGGAGGGAGUACUAGGGAAGUACAUAUUCAGCCCCGGUGUUGUGGCGGCUGACUAGGCAGUUAGCUCUACAAAACCAGUCAAAGCCGACCACAAAACUGAUUUGAGGCACAUAAGGUUGAAAGUUGUCCGGUUUUGAGAGUUUAGGGCUGUAAUGUAGACGGUUUUGGAGCACGUGGUUGUAGAUUAAACUAAAGCAUGAGUUGAGGGUUGAAAUAUGCACUUCUUUCCUCUUUUUUUUGAGUAGUUUGGAUUGCUUACCACAUGUGUCACAUGGUUCUCUCCUUGUUUUUCAUAGUGGUAUUUUGGCAUUCUUGGUUUCAACUAGGUAUAGUUUGUCCCCGCAGAAAAAUAGUGAUAGUUUGGCUAUUUUCUCAUAAACAAACGUACAAA